UCACUCAUGUUUCACCUCAUAUCGCAUAAAUCUUUCGCCUUUUACUAAAGAUUUCCGUGGGGAGGAAUGCAAUGAGUAUAUUGUAAUUUUUUGAUGCCCUACUUUAUUGUGGGGCU
Myxocyprinus asiaticus (Chinese sucker) is the source of this 116-nucleotide small nuclear RNA. RefSeq annotates it as U5 spliceosomal RNA. The record is from RefSeq and is a predicted model, not a curated record. The transcript has a single exon. Lineage: Eukaryota; Metazoa; Chordata; Actinopteri; Cypriniformes; Catostomidae.